AACUCAGUGGAGAGAGAGAGAGAGACACACAGUGACGUGUGUAACUUGAAUCCAGGAACCCCGGUUAUGCAAGACCAGCUGCGUUUCAGUUUUGAAGCACUAUUUUUUUUAAAGAGUGAGUGCUUCCCACGUGGCUCACCUCUGGGAGCUGCCCUGCAGUUUGGAGGGGAGCAGGGUGGGGACACCCAGGUGGUGGGUGGGUGGUGAGUUGUUAAUUCUGGAGAAAAGCCACUGACUUAACUGAAAAUUAUGUUGGUUUACCAGCAGGCCAGAGUCAUGCACUUCUCCUCUGGGAACAAAAGGGUGUCAUGGUGUCUGGUGCUGAGCAUGGACACAGUGGCCACCCGUGGUCAAAUGCCUGGGCCCAAAGGGAACCCGUGGCCCCAUCAGUUGUCCUUAGAGCGGUGGUUCUCAGCCAGAAGCCAUCUUGCCCUCCAGGAGACAUUUGGCAAUGUCUAGAGACGCCUGCUGAGGGGGUUACUGUCAUCUGGUGGGUAGAAACCAGAGAUGCUGCGGAACAUCCUCCAAUGCACAGAGCAGCCCCUACAAUAAAAAAUUAUCCACCCAAAAUGUCAAUAGUAGCAAAACCCUGCUUUAAAGCAAACAGACAACUUUUGUUUGCCUGGGAAUCAACAAGUGUUCUCAGGUGUAUACAGGAGGUGCUCAAUAAAUGCAUGUGGAUGAGGAUGAAAAGCUAUUGUCCAUGGACUCUAGCAGAAGAGCCCAGGGUAGUGCUGGGAUAGAGGGCGGCAGGAGAGGCUCCUAGGCUGCAAAUGCAGCCCUUGGACCAGGAGGCAGGACCCGGGCUAAGAUUCAGUUUCUACAGUGGUUCUUUGAGGGUAUGAUUGUGAAUGAUAUUUAUUAUAAAAUUAUAUUUUUCUGAGUUUUUUUAACAAAAUGAGCUUGUAUUAUAAUUUUUUCUUAAUUACCUGUUAGAAAGACUUAGUUUCCCAAAUCAUCUGUUCACGGGACUUUCCUUAGUCCCGACUGAGAAAGGGGCACCGAUUCCCUCUGCACCUGCAAAUCUCAGUUCACACUUUACAGUUCACCCCUGUGAUAGGGCAUCAUCAAAAGUAUGAAGACCUUCCUUCCAGGGAAGAAACUCUUAGAUGUAAGGAGAUCUGAAUUGUGAGUUGGAGCCCUGGGGUCUGGUUGCAAGUCUGACGCCAACAUCUGUCACCUUGAACAAGUCUUGUGAGUUCUCGGGACCUCAGUCCCCAUGUCCCUGGAGUGCCAGGACGAGAACAGAUGCGUCCCAUAGCCCUUGAGUGGCUCACAGAAGAGCAGGUGGGGGCUCAGGCCCACGGCCUCCUGGCUUCAGCGAGGGGGCAGCACCUGUCUGGUACAGCCCCCGCUGGGCCUGCCUCCCAAGUGACCCGUAUGGGACACAGUCCCAGUGUGUUGAAGGGCAGCACAGGGUGUGUCCCCAAACUUUCUGCUUUCAUCGCACGUCACGUCUUGCCAAUUCAAAAGGAGGACCUGGCCACCAGGUUACACCAGCUGCUCCAGGCACAUCUCACCUGGCAGGAGAUACACGUGAGCUUAAGAGCAACUGUGGUCUGGGGUGCAUGCCAGAAAACCCUCUUUUCCCUACAAACCUUCUUGAUCUCAGAGUAACCAGUUGACUCCCAUGGCAAUUAAUGAGGUGAGACGCGGCUGCCAGCUCUCCUCUAUGAGUCACUGCCACUGUUUUCACAGAUGGAGACGCUGAAGCCCAGGAGUGGCACCCUCUGCUCCAGACCCCUCAAGUGCCUUUAAGUUCCGAGCAUCAGCCAUCAUUCACUGGUUUCCUUUGCCCUGAAAAACUCUGAUCCUUCACAAAAUGAUGAUCCUCUAAAAUAAUGAGGGAGUUCUGUCAUCUUUCUACUUCCCUGAGGAGGCGUCAGCCGGGCUACAGGAAAGAAAAAAGGGCUUCUCCAAGGAUUUUAUUAUUUUUAUUUUCUUUUAAAGAUUGGCCCUGAGCUAACAUCUGUUGCCAAUCUGCCUCUUUUUUUUGGUGAGGAAGAUUGGCCCUGAGCUACUAUCUGUUGCCAAUCUUCCUCUUUUUUUUCCUUCUCCAUAAAGCCUCCCAGGGCAUAGCUGUAUAUUUUAUUUGUGGGUCCUUCUGGUUGUGCUAUAUGUGACACCGCCUCAAUGUGGCCUGAUGAGUGGUGCCAUGUCUGCGCCCAGGAUCCGAACCGGCAAAACCCUGGGCCACCAAAGCAGAACGUACGAACUUGACCUUUCAGCCACGGGGCCAGCCCCUCCAAGGUUUUUAAAAGUUAUUACUAAAAAAAGACGAAAAAAAAAAGAAAAAAAAAAGUUAUUACUAGCGCUUCGGCAGGCAAGCUUCUGUGCCCUUCCUAGCUUUCUUCUUGACAGUACAGUCUCAGAGAAGUCCCAAUCAGCUGAGACACUUUGAGUUUAUUCUGUGAACAUUAAAUCCAAUAUCAUGUGCUGUGCUCUGGCUGGAAUGCUAACCUGAAUCACGUGACGGCCCCCGGGGGAGGCCCGGGCCUCGUUAAAACUGAGCCCAGGAGCUGGAGGCAGGGCCUUCUCAGAAGGAUGCUCGUGCCUGCUCCACUCCCUCUGCCGGGAUGAGCUGAUGUGCUCGCCCACUUCUCACCCUGGUUUGCCUACUUUCGAUUAUUUUUUAAGUUGAUUCUGUUUCUGAUCAGCACCUGUGUAUUUUUGGCAGUCAGAUAUUAAUGGUGGUUUUCUAUUUUGUUUCUUAGCCAUCAGAUAUAAAUAAUUCUCACCUGAAGAGGUGAAAGGACGGUCAGUAACAGAAAGGUUAGGAAAGGCGGGGACCUAGAAUUCCACAUAGGCCAUUAGCUCUGUGCAGGUUACCUCGCUCACCGGCUCCGCCCGUACAGUUAAGGAGACGAUCUCAGGCUAAAUUCAGUUCACCCCUGCAGUUAGUGAAUGUUGGCUAUUAUGAUUAUUGAGUUGCCUGGACCUCAAGGAGAUGCCACGUCUGAGCCACAGAGGACCACGGUUGGCUGAAGGACCGCAAAGCAGAAAGGCCGUCAGGCAGGAAAAGCAGGCUGGAUACAAGAACUGGAAGAAGGCCACGGUGUGGCAGGAGUGGUGACACGUGGACUGGGCUCCAGGCUGACAGCCCCCGCCUUUCUCCUGGAGUAAGCAGAGCUGCGAGUGGAUUUGCGUUUCUGAUGGCUUCCUCAGGCUACAGAGAGGAGAAUGGGUUAUGGAGGAAAAGCUUGAGGCCUUCGGCAGUGAUGUUUCUCUGAGGAGCCUGCCCGACGUCUGUGUCAUGUCUUCACACUCUGGCUGGUCGCUCUGGGACCUAUUUCCCGUCCCGUAGAACAUCUUGGCACACACAUCCCUCCAAAUUUAUUUUCGUUUUCAAGCAUAUGCGAGCAGCCCCUGCAGCAGGCACGACAACUUCUAUCAACAUUUGGUUCUCAUCUUCCUCCAGACCCACUGAUGGACCAGGCGUCUCCAUCCCCAUAAAAUGAGGCAUCACUCCGUGACUUGCUUUGGCCAAAGAAACGUGGUGGGAAGCCAUGUGUGCACAUGUGAUCCCUGAUGCUCGUCUGUCCAGCUCUUCGCUUGGGUCCCACGGUGACAAUGGGAGUAAGUGUUGACAUAAAGGGGCUGAAGGGUUCAGGCAGCUUGGAAUGCUGAACCAUCACAGAGAGGAGCGAUGGGCUGCGCAGCCACUGGAGCCACAGCAGAGUUUGCACAAGCAGGAAAGAAAGUCCCGCCGCGUGGAGACACUGGGACCUGAAGCUGUGUCUCAUGCGCAUGAGCUGCGCCCGCCUGUCCUGACUGGUGGAGCCCUCUUCACUGAACCAGAGCCUGAGUUCACCCCGACCCUAAACAGGCGUCUGAAAUUAUACUGGCUUGAGAAAGCAGGAGUGUUUGAAAAUGUCCCAUUUGAAAAACUAACAACCCACCAUAAAAUAGGAAGCAAAACAAAACAAGAAUUUACACAAGCAAACCAUUUUUGUGAGAUUGCAUUCUUUUGUUGAUAUGUUUCAAUCACUUCCAGAUGCAUCAAUCCAUUGUAAUUCAGAAGGGUUUUUUUAUUCCCUUGCCGCGCAUCUGGGCAGAAUGGAAAACAAAUUUGCGUAAGUGGUGGAAAUACGUCAUCUACAACAGAAGAACUGACCCCUGGUGGAUUAAAAUUCUUCUUUGAGCAGCUUCAGUUCUUGAUCCUUUUCUUUUGCAUGAUGUUAGCUCCGCAUGUCCCUGUGCCACUGGAAAUUUCUUUGUAGUUAUGAUUUAUUUCCCAACCACCUUGAGAGUUCCUUCUGUGAGCAGCUUCUCGUAACUUGCGUCUAAAAUAGGAAUUCUUGGCUCACGGUCCAUGUAAUACUGGGGUGUGUGUAUCAGUGAAUCACACGCAAUUUAGGCAAAUUAUUCAUGUGCG
This is a long non-coding RNA of Equus caballus (horse), 4375 nucleotides long. The record is from Ensembl. NCBI's taxonomy places the organism in Eukaryota, Metazoa, Chordata, Mammalia, Perissodactyla, Equidae.